Molecule: ribosomal RNA, 385 nt
Filed under: uncultured bacterium
Lineage: Bacteria
Description: bacterial SSU rRNA
Rfam family: Bacterial small subunit ribosomal RNA
Source: RNAcentral
UGGGGAAUAUUGCGCAAUGGGGGAAACCCUGACGCAGCAACGCCGCGUGAAGGAUGAAGGUUUUCGGAUCGUAAACUUCUUUGAUGGGGGACGAAACAAAUGACGGUACCCCAAAAACAAGCCACGGCUAACUACGUGCCAGCAGCCGCGGUAAUACGUAGGUGGCGAGCGUUGUCCGGAAUUACUGGGUGUAAAGGGCGUGUAGGCGGGAAUGCAAGUCAGAUGUGAAAUGCCGAGGCUUAACCUCGGAGCUGCAUCUGAAACUGUGUUUCUUGAGUGUCGGAGAGGAAAGUGGAAUUCCCAGUGUAGCGGUGAAAUGCGUAGAUAUUGGGAGGAACACCAGUGGCGAAGGCGACUUUCUGGACGAUAACUGACGCUGAGGCGC